GGCUAGAGUUUGAUCAUGGCUCAGAUUGAACGCUGGCGGCAGGCCUAACACAUGCAAGUCGAACGGUAACAGGAAGCAGCUUGCUGCUUCGCUGACGAGUGGCGGACGGGUGAGUAAUGUCUGGGAAACUGCCUGAUGGAGGGGGAUAACUACUGGAAACGGUAGCUAAUACCGCAUAAUGUCGCAAGACCAAAGAGGGGGACCUUCGGGCCUCUUGCCAUCGGAUGUGCCCAGAUGGGAUUAGCUUGUUGGUGGGGUAACGGCUCACCAAGGCGACGAUCCCUAGCUGGUCUGAGAGGAUGACCAGCCACACUGGAACUGAGACACGGUCCAGACUCCUACGGGAGGCAGCAGUGGGGAAUAUUGCACAAUGGGCGCAAGCCUGAUGCAGCCAUGCCGCGUGUAUGAAGAAGGCCUUCGGGUUGUAAAGUACUUUCAGCGGGGAGGAAGGGAGUAAAGUUAAUACCUUUGCUCAUUGACGUUACCCGCAGAAGAAGCACCGGCUAACUCCGUGCCAGCAGCCGCGGUAAUACGGAGGGUGCAGGCGUUAAUCGGAAUUACUGGGCGUAAAGCGCACGCAGGCGGUUUGUUAAGUCAGAUGUGAAAUCCCCGGGCUCAACCUGGGAACUGCAUCUGAUACUGGCAAGCUUGAGUCUCGUAGAGGGGGGUAGUAUUCCAGGUGUAGCGGUGAAAUGCGUAGAGAUCUGGAGGAAUACCGGUGGCGAAGGCGGCCCCCUGGACGAAGACUGACGCUCAGGUGCGAAAGCGUGGGGAGCAAACAGGAUUAGAUACCCUGGUAGUCCACGCCGUAAACGAUGUCGACUUGGAGGUUGUGCCCUUGAGGUGUGGCUUCCGGAGCUACCGCGUUAAGUCGACCGCCUGGG
Molecule: ribosomal RNA, 884 nt
Filed under: uncultured bacterium
Lineage: Bacteria
Description: bacterial SSU rRNA
Rfam family: Bacterial small subunit ribosomal RNA
Source: RNAcentral